ACUGAAAACCAAGGAUGAUGAUGUAACAUGUUACAAUACGAGCUGUCAGACUGUGGCUUGCAUGAAAUCCAGUAGUACAUGUGGAUAAAAGCCACUGAUCCGUGGUAACCUCUUGUUAGGUGGGCAACACCUGCCAAGGAAUUGAUUAAUUGCCAUGGUCUAGGUUUCAGGUGGGGUUAAAUGGCAGCAAAGAAGCAGUGUGACUGCUGAGUGGGAAGACUGUGGAGAUAAGAGGUCUGUCAUUAGACCCCUAAUUUGUGGAGAAUGUGGUAAAUUGUAGCAGAAAGGAAGAAGGAAGCAACAGUGUCAGAGUUUUAGUUUGAAGACAGAAGGAUCUUGGAGGUUCUGGGAGAUAGAGGAGGGAUCUGCUGGGGGCUAAACAAUUAUAGUCUUCACCCACCCCUAGCAGGAAAAGCAGAACUUCAAGGGUCAAAUUCUGCUCAAUAGCAUCAUAACACCACCAUCUUCAUUAGCCUUGGAACGCUGUUGCACCAAGUGGGAAUCUGGCCCCACAGGAAACCUGUGGGAGCAGCAGAUGAAACUUGUAGUUUCUGACUGAAGCGGAAAAGUCUAUUGGCUGCUGUCCUACCAAGUGACCAGGAAUAUCUCUGCUGCAGUAUGUCGUGCUGAUAUGGCACAGGCAUUGUUCUUCACGUCCACAAGGACAUAUCCAUCAAGGUAUCCCUUCAGGAUGCUGAAGCAGAACAAUGCAGCCCAGUCUGGAUCAAGCUCAGCAGUUGCAAAGGUGGAUUAAAUAAAUGCAUGCAGAUAAUGCAUGAGGAGCACCAAGAGAUGUAACCACCCUCAGAGGUUUACCAGACUACUGAGAAAGCAUUCAGUAAUUCAUGUGCAUUCAUCAUGUUUGAAAAUCACCAGCUCUUGCAACUGGCUGCAUAUUCAGCAGCUCACUAAUAGCAUAAUGUCAUGGGAUGGAUACAAGAGUGAAACAUAAUGGGAGCUGACAAGCUGGACAGGUCUCAGAAAUCUACACAAAAACUACUGCCCAGAG
Molecule: long non-coding RNA, 1009 nt
Organism: Pezoporus occidentalis (night parrot)
Lineage: Eukaryota; Metazoa; Chordata; Aves; Psittaciformes; Psittacidae
Exons: 5
Source: RefSeq, a predicted model, not a curated record